Molecule: ribosomal RNA, 301 nt
Filed under: uncultured bacterium
Lineage: Bacteria
Description: partial 16S ribosomal RNA
Rfam family: Bacterial small subunit ribosomal RNA
Source: RNAcentral
CAGCAGCCGCGGUAAGACGGAGGGUGCUAGCGUUGUUCGGAAUCACUGGGCGUAAAGGGCGCGUAGGCGGCCUGUUAAGUCGGAUGUGAAAGCCCGGGGCUCAACCCCGGAACUGCAUCCGAGACUGGCAGGCUUGAGACCGGGAGAGGAGGGUGGAAUAUCCAGUGUAGAGGUGAAAUUCGUAGAUAUUGGAUGGAACACCGGUGGCGAAAGCGGCUCUCUGGCCCGGAUCUGACGCUGAGGCGCGAAAGCGUGGGGAGCAAACAGGAUUAGAGACCCCUGUAGUCCCUGUCUCUUAUAC